UGAAGCCGCUUCGGUGGUGGAUUAGUGGCGAACGGGUGAGUAACACGUGGGCAAUCUGCCCUGCGCUCUGGGACAAGCCCUGGAAACGGGGUCUAAUACCGGAUAUGAUCAUCGGCCGCAUGGUCUGGUGGUGGAAAGCUCCGGCGGUGCAGGAUGAGCCCGCGGCCUAUCAGCUUGUUGGUGGGGUGAUGGCCUACCAAGGCGACGACGGGUAGCCGGCCUGAGAGGGCGACCGGCCACACUGGGACUGAGACACGGCCCAGACUCCUACGGGAGGCAGCAGUGGGGAAUAUUGCACAAUGGGCGCAAGCCUGAUGCAGCGACGCCGCGUGAGGGAUGACGGCCUUCGGGUUGUAAACCUCUUUCAGCAGGGAAGAAGCCUUCACCGGUGACGGUACCUGCAGAAGAAGCACCGGCUAACUACGUGCCAGCAGCCGCGGUAAUACGUAGGGUGCGAGCGUUGUCCGGAAUUAUUGGGCGUAAAGAGCUCGUAGGCGGCGUGUCACGUCGGAUGUGAAAGCCCGGGGCUUAACCCUGGGUCUGCAUUCGAUACGGGCAGGCUAGAGUUCGGUAGGGGAGAUCGGAAUUCCUGGUGUAGCGGUGAAAUGCGCAGAUAUCAGGAGGAACACCGGUGGCGAAGGCGG
Molecule: ribosomal RNA, 644 nt
Filed under: bacterium TRM46059
Lineage: Bacteria
Description: bacterial SSU rRNA
Rfam family: Bacterial small subunit ribosomal RNA
Source: RNAcentral